This 72-nucleotide transfer RNA is filed under the name Camelus bactrianus (Bactrian camel). It matches the Rfam family "tRNA". Rfam says of the family: Transfer RNA (tRNA) molecules are approximately 80 nucleotides in length. Their secondary structure includes four short double-helical elements and three loops (D, anti-codon, and T loops). Further hydrogen bonds mediate the characteristic L-shaped molecular structure. tRNAs have two regions of fundamental functional importance: the anti-codon, which is responsible for specific mRNA codon recognition, and the 3' end, to which the tRNAs corresponding amino acid is attached (by aminoacyl-tRNA synthetases). tRNAs cope with the degeneracy of the genetic code in two manners: having more than one tRNA (with a specific anti-codon) for a particular amino acid; and 'wobble' base-pairing, i.e. permitting non-standard base-pairing at the 3rd anti-codon position. The record is from Rfam by way of RNAcentral. RNAcentral also lists the same sequence under 2 other names. Lineage: Eukaryota; Metazoa; Chordata; Mammalia; Artiodactyla; Camelidae.
GAAGGUAUAGCUCUGUGGUACAGUGCAUGCUUAGCAUGCACAAGGUCCUGGGUUUAAUCCCCAGUAUCUCCA